RNAcentral lists this ribosomal RNA (1416 nucleotides) under metagenome. RNAcentral's name for it is "bacterial LSU rRNA". It matches the Rfam family "Bacterial large subunit ribosomal RNA", at positions 1501 to 2925 of the family's 2925-position model. The record is from RNAcentral.
AAAAUGUGUGUCCAAGCAGCAAGUCUGAGAACGAGUGAAAUGCUUUUUCUCUCAAGGACAAGCUGUGAUGGGGAGCGAAAUUUAGUAGCGAAGUUCCUGAUGUCACACUGCCAAGAAAAGCUUCUAGUGAGAAAGUAACUGCCCGUACCGCAAACCGACACAGGUAGUUGAGGAGGGAAUCCUAAGGUGUGCGAGAGAACUCUCGUUAAGGAACUCGGCAAAAUGACCCCGUAACUUCGGGAGAAGGGGUGCUGACCGCAAGGUCAGCCGCAGUGAAUAGGCCCAAGCGACUGUUUAUCAAAAACACAGGUCUCUGCAAAAUCGAAAGAUGACGUAUAGGGGCUGACGCCUGCCCGGUGCUGGAAGGUUAAGAGGAGAGGUUAGCGCAAGCGAAGCUUUGAAUUGAAGCCCCAGUAAACGGCGGCCGUAACUAUAACGGUCCUAAGGUAGCGAAAUUCCUUGUCGGGUAAGUUCCGACCCGCACGAAAGGCGUAACGAUUUGGGCACUGUCUCAACGAGAGACUCGGUGAAAUCAUAGUACCAGUGAAGAUGCUGGUUACCCGCGACAGGACGGAAAGACCCCAUGGAGCUUUACUGCAGUUUGAUAUUGCGUGUUUGUAUCACAUGUACAGGAUAGGUAGGAGCCGAAGAUACCGGGACGCCAGUCUCGGAGGAGGCAACGGUGGGAUACUACCCUUGUGAUAUGACCACUCUAACCCGCUGCUCUAGCGAGCAGGGAGACAGUGUCAGACGGGCAGUUUGACUGGGGCGGUCGCCUCCAAAAAUGUAACGGAGGCGCCCAAAGGUUCCCUCAGAAUGGUUGGAAAUCAUUCGUAGAGUGUAAAGGCAGAAGGGAGCUUGACUGCGAGACCUACAAGUCGAGCAGGGACGAAAGUCGGGCUUAGUGAUCCGGUGGUUCCGCAUGGAAGGGCCAUCGCUCAACGGAUAAAAGCUACCCUGGGGAUAACAGGCUUAUCUCCCCCAAGAGUUCACAUCGACGGGGAGGUUUGGCACCUCGAUGUCGGCACAUCGCAUCCUGGGGCUGUAGUCGGUCCCAAGGGUUGGGCUGUUCGCCCAUUAAAGCGGUACGCGAGCUGGGUUCAGAACGUCGUGAGACAGUUCGGUCCCUAUCCGUCGCGGGCGUUGGAAAUUUGAGAGGAGCUGUCCUUAGUACGAGAGGACCGGGAUGGACACACCGCUGGUGUACCAGUUGUUCUGCCAAGAGCAUCGCUGGGUAGCUAUGUGUGGACGGGAUAAACGCUGAAAGCAUCUAAGCGUGAAGCCCCCCUCAAGAUGAGAUUUCCCAUCACUUUAAGUGAGUAAGACCCCUGAGAGAUGAUCAGGUAGAUAGGUUGGGAGUGGAAGUACAGCGAUGUAUGGAGCGGACCAAUACUAAUCGGUCGAGGACUUAACCAA